Molecule: ribosomal RNA, 492 nt
Filed under: uncultured bacterium
Lineage: Bacteria
Description: partial 16S ribosomal RNA
Rfam family: Bacterial small subunit ribosomal RNA
Source: RNAcentral
AGUGAACGCUGGCGGUAGGCCUAACACAUGCCAGUCGAACGGUAGCACACUUAGCGCUUUCUCUUACGUGUGGCGAUUGCCGGACGGGUGAGAAAUCCUUCGGAAUCUACUUUUUCGUUGUGGAUAACGUCGUGAAACUUACGCUAAUACCGCAUACUCCCUACGUGUCGCAUCAGGGGUUCUUGGGACAUUUCGCUUCGGUGUGAGCUGAUGUCGGAUUAGCUCGUUGUCGGGGUAAGGGGACACCAAGCCGACGAUCCGUAGCUGGUCUGACAGGAUGAUCAGCGACAAUGGAACGGAGACAAGGCCGAGAAGCCUACGGGAGGAAGCAGUGGGGAAGAAUGGAGAAUGGGCGGAAGACGGAUGAAGCCAUGACGCGGGGGGGAAGAAGGAGUUCGGGUUGUAGAGACCUUUUGUUGGGAAAGAAAAGGGGCAGGUUAGUUUCCCGGUGUUCUGACGGUACCCAAAGAAGAAGCACCGGCUAACUUCGUG